RNAcentral lists this ribosomal RNA (466 nucleotides) under uncultured bacterium. RNAcentral's name for it is "partial 16S ribosomal RNA". It matches the Rfam family "Bacterial small subunit ribosomal RNA", at positions 28 to 506 of the family's 1533-position model. The record is from RNAcentral.
GACGAACGCUGGCGGCGUGCUUAACACAUGCAAGUCGAACGGAAAGGCCUCUUUCGGGGGGUACUCGAGUGGCGAACGGGUGAGUAACACGUGAGUAACCUGCCCUUGACUUUGGGAUAACUUCAGGAAACUGGGGCUAAUACCGGAUAGGAGCUCCUGCUGCAUGGUGGGGGUUGGAAAGUUUCGGCGGUUGGGGAUGGACUCGCGGCUUAUCAGCUUGUUGGUGGGGUAGUGGCUUACCAAGGCUUUGACGGGUAGCCGGCCUGAGAGGGUGACCGGCCACAUUGGGACUGAGAUACGGCCCAGACUCCUACGGGAGGCAGCAGUGGGGAAGAUUGCACAAUGGGUGGAAGCCUGAUGCAGCAACGCCGUGUGCGGGAUGACGGCCUUCGGGUUGUAAACCGCUUUCGCUCAUGACGAAGCUUUGUGUGACGGUAGUGGGUAAAGAAGCACCGGCUAACUACGU